UGGAGAGUUUGAUCCUGGCUCAGGACGAACGCUGGCGGCGUGCUUAACACAUGCAAGUCGAACGGAAAGGUCUCUUCGGAGAUACUCGAGUGGCGAACGGGUGAGUAACACGUGGGCAAUCUGCCCUGCACUUCGGGAUAAGCCUGGGAAACUGGGUCUAAUACCGGAUAGGACCACUUGGCGCAUGCCUUGUGGUGGAAAGCUUUUGCGGUGUGGGAUGGGCCCGCGGCCUAUCAGCUAGUUGGUGGGGUGAUGGCCUACCAAGGCGACGACGGGUAGCCGGCCUGAGAGGGUGUCCGGCCACACUGGGACUGAGAUACGGCCCAGACUCCUACGGGAGGCAGCAGUGGGGAAUAUUGCACAAUGGGCGCAAGCCUGAUGCAGCGACGCCGCGUGGGGGAUGACGGCCUUCGGGUUGUAAACCUCUUUCAGCAGGGACGAAGCGCAAGUGACGGUACCUGCAGAAGAAGCACCGGCCAACUACGUGCCAGCAGCCGCGGUA
RNAcentral lists this ribosomal RNA (502 nucleotides) under Mycobacterium sp. N228. Its description in RNAcentral is "bacterial SSU rRNA". It matches the Rfam family "Bacterial small subunit ribosomal RNA", at positions 1 to 522 of the family's 1533-position model. Lineage: Bacteria; Bacillati; Actinomycetota; Actinomycetes; Mycobacteriales; Mycobacteriaceae. The record is from RNAcentral.